Molecule: ribosomal RNA, 467 nt
Filed under: uncultured Streptococcus sp.
Lineage: Bacteria; Bacillati; Bacillota; Bacilli; Lactobacillales; Streptococcaceae
Description: bacterial SSU rRNA
Rfam family: Bacterial small subunit ribosomal RNA
Source: RNAcentral
ACGGGGGCCCGCACAAGCGGAGGAACAUGUGGUUUAAUUCGAUGAUACGCGAGGAACCUUACCUGGGCUUAAAUGUAGAGUGCAUUUUUUAGAGAUAGAAAUUCCCUUCGGGGCUUUCUGCAAGGUGCUGCAUGGUUGUCGUCAGCUCGUGCCGUGAGGUGUCGGGUUAAGUCCCAUAACGAGCGCAACCCUUAUCGUUAGUUGCCAUCAUUCAGUUGGGCACUCUAGCGAGACUGCCGGUAAUAAACCGGAGGAAGGUGGGGAUGACGUCAAAUCAUCAUGCCCCUUAUGACCUGGGCUACACACGUGCUACAAUGGUUGGUACAACGAGUUGCGAGUCGGUGACGGCGAGCUAAUCUCUUAAAGCCAAUCUCAGUUCGGGUUGUAGGCUGCAACUCGCCUACAUGAAGUCGGAAUCGCUAGUAAUCGCGGAUCAGCACGCCGCGGUGAAUACGUUCCCGGGCCUU